Saimiri boliviensis boliviensis (Bolivian squirrel monkey) is the source of this 563-nucleotide non-coding RNA. NCBI's taxonomy places the organism in Eukaryota, Metazoa, Chordata, Mammalia, Primates, Cebidae. The record is from RefSeq and is a predicted model, not a curated record.
UUUUGGAGCUGUAUGGGAAGCACCGGGGUCGGGGCUGAAAGGCCGCCUUCUCCUGCCGGCUAACGGUGUGGGUGACAGCCCGCACAUUCAAAUGAGGCGGCGAUGAGACCGCGCUGGCUUCUGAAGAUGGAUUUCUCGAGACUUUUAUGCUAGUGUGAGGGCCAGCAGGUGCACAUUUGAAGCUCACUGGGACGUGUUUUCCAAGCAACAGGAGACAGCAGAUGCAGACAGGGCCCAAUUACUGCUGCUCACGACUGAUCACGCCAUGCACUCAUAUACGGAUACGUAGCUCCUGGUCUCAGGCACCUAGUAUGGGGCGGUGCACACGGAAACAAUCGUGCAUUCCUGAGAAGAUGGCUGAAACCAAGGAGGCAUUCAGAGACCACAGACCCAGCUGACUGGUUCCUGCUGACAUCCAGUCCACGAUGUUUGUCACGUCAACUCCUCUUCAAAUUCAUGAUGCAAAUCAAUAGCUAAACAUGUUGAUAUCUUUUGUUUCUCUCAGCUGGAUUGAUCCCGGAGUCCUCCUGGUGCAGUGGAAAGAUUUGGGUUUUGCAGCCAAA